GGGGGUGACUGGUUUCGACUUGGGCGGUAGUCCCAGGGGAAGCGGGUCGAGGAUCCACGCUUAUCUCGUUAACGACGUGUGGAAACCAAUAAGUGCCAACAACAACCGCACUGACUUCGCUCUGGCUGCCUGAUCAGCUAACGAAGGGUCAACCCGGGGGUGCCUUCACCUCGGGACCUGGCCUCAUUUAGAGGGCUUGCUGAGUAACCUGCGUGCCAGGGGUUGCUCGGGACUUUACUGGUACUGGGUCUGUCUGCGACAUGCUGAUGUGAGUGCAGGGACCGAGUAACGCGCCUAGUCAGCUGCACCCGGAGAAGCCCUGGUUCGUCUCUCAAGGACGCGGGUUCAAUUCCCGCCACCUCCACCA
This 367-nucleotide transfer-messenger RNA is filed under the name Propionibacteriaceae. RNAcentral describes it as "Arachnia sp019316905 Standard tmRNA". It matches the Rfam family "transfer-messenger RNA". From Rfam's summary of the family: Bacterial tmRNA, also known as 10Sa RNA or SsrA, is named for its dual tRNA and mRNA-like properties. Its role is to liberate the mRNA from a stalled ribosome. To accomplish this part of the tmRNA is used as a reading frame that ends in a translation stop signal. Lineage: Bacteria; Bacillati; Actinomycetota; Actinomycetes; Propionibacteriales. The record is from RNAcentral. RNAcentral also lists the same sequence under 1 other name.